GUGCUUAACACAUGCAAGUCGAACGGAAAGGCCCUUUCGGGGGUACUCGAGUGGCGAACGGGUGAGUAACACGUGGGUGAUCUGCCCUGCACUUUGGGAUAAGCCUGGGAAACUGGGUCUAAUACCGAAUAUACCCUGCUGGUCGCAUGGCCUGGUGGGGGAAAGCUUUUGCGGUGUGGGAUGGGCCCGCGGCCUAUCAGCUUGUUGGUGGGGUGAUGGCCUACCAAGGCGACGACGGGUAGCCGGCCUGAGAGGGUGACCGGCCACACUGGGACUGAGAUACGGCCCAGACUCCUACGGGAGGCAGCAGUGGGGAAUAUUGCACAAUGGGCGCAAGCCUGAUGCAGCGACGCCGCGUGAGGGAUGACGGCCUUCGGGUUGUAAACCUCUUUCAGCACAGACGAAGCGCAAGUGACGGUAUGUGCAGAAGAAGGACCGGCCAACUACGUGCCAGCAGCCGCGGUAAUACGUAGGGUCCGAGCGUUGUCCGGAAUUACUGGGCGUAAAGAGCUCGUAGGUGGUUUGUCGCGUUGUUCGUGAAAUC
RNAcentral lists this ribosomal RNA (544 nucleotides) under Mycolicibacterium goodii. RNAcentral's name for it is "bacterial SSU rRNA". It matches the Rfam family "Bacterial small subunit ribosomal RNA", at positions 44 to 601 of the family's 1533-position model. The record is from RNAcentral. Lineage: Bacteria; Bacillati; Actinomycetota; Actinomycetes; Mycobacteriales; Mycobacteriaceae.